ACCUCUGUAGUGUAGCGGUAGCAUUACUGCCUACCAUGCAGGAGGCCUGGGUUCAAUUCCCAGCAGGGGAC
Non-coding RNA from Schistocerca gregaria, 71 nucleotides. The record is from the annotation of a RefSeq genome assembly. NCBI's taxonomy places the organism in Eukaryota, Metazoa, Arthropoda, Insecta, Orthoptera, Acrididae.